UACGGAGGGUGCAAGCGUUAAUCGGAAUUACUGGGCGUAAAGCGUGCGCAGGCGGUUUGUUAAGUCCGUUGUGAAAGCCCCGAGCUCAACUUGGGAAUUGCAGUGGAUACUGGCAGGCUGGAGUACGGUAGAGGAAGGUGGAAUUCCUGGUGUAGCGGUGAAAUGCGCAGAUAUCAGGAGGAACACCAAUGGCGAAGGCAGCUCGCUGGGACGGUACUGACGCUGAGACGCGAAAGCGUGGGGAGCAAACAGG
RNAcentral lists this ribosomal RNA (253 nucleotides) under uncultured bacterium. RNAcentral's name for it is "partial 16S ribosomal RNA". It matches the Rfam family "Bacterial small subunit ribosomal RNA", at positions 524 to 776 of the family's 1533-position model. The record is from RNAcentral.